RNAcentral lists this transfer RNA (78 nucleotides) under Nitrospira sp. RNAcentral describes it as "tRNA-Asp". It matches the Rfam family "tRNA". Rfam says of the family: Transfer RNA (tRNA) molecules are approximately 80 nucleotides in length. Their secondary structure includes four short double-helical elements and three loops (D, anti-codon, and T loops). RNAcentral also lists the same sequence under 6 other names. The record is from RNAcentral. Lineage: Bacteria; Pseudomonadati; Nitrospirota; Nitrospiria; Nitrospirales; Nitrospiraceae.
GGGGUGGUAGUUCAGUUGGUUUAGAACGCCGGCCUGUCAAGCCGGAGGUCGCGGGUUCAAGUCCCGUCCAUCCCGCCA